This 372-nucleotide ribosomal RNA is filed under the name Alexandrium tamarense. RNAcentral's name for it is "partial Bacterial large subunit ribosomal RNA". It matches the Rfam family "Bacterial large subunit ribosomal RNA", at positions 594 to 967 of the family's 2925-position model. The record is from RNAcentral. Lineage: Eukaryota; Dinophyceae; Gonyaulacales; Pyrocystaceae.
UGACUGCGUACCUUUUGUAUAAUGGGUCAGCGACUUAUUGUCUGUAGCAAGCUUAACCGUUUAGGGGAGGCGUAGGGAAACCGAGUCCGAAUAGGGCGAUUUAGUCGUCAGGCGUAGACCCGAAACCGGAUGAUCUACUCAUGGCCAGGUUGAAGGCAAGGUAACACUUGCUGGAGGACCGAACCCACUAGUGUUGCAAAACUAGGGGAUGAGCUGUGGGUAGGGGUGAAAGGCUAAUCAAACUGGGAAAUAGCUCGUACUCCCCGAAAUGCAUUUAGGUGCAGCGUAUUAUUAGUUUUAUAGAGGUAGAGCUACUGAUUGGAUGCGGGGGCUUCACCGCCUACCAAUUCCUGACAAACUCCGAAUGCUAUA